GAUGAACGCUGGCGGCGUGCCUAAUACAUGCAAGUCGAGCGAACAGACGAGGAGCUUGCUCCUCUGACGUUAGCGGCGGACGGGUGAGUAACACGUGGAUAACCUACCUAUAAGACUGGGAUAACUUCGGGAAACCGGAGCUAAUACCGGAUAAUAUAUUGAACCGCAUGGUUCAAUAGUGAAAGACGGUUUUGCUGGCACUUAUAGAUGGAUCCGCGCCGCAUUAGCUAGUUGGUAAGGUAACGGCUUACCAAGGCAACGAUGCGUAGCCGACCUGAGAGGGUGAUCGGCCACACUGGAACUGAAACACGGUCCAGACUCCUACGGGAGGCAGCAGUAGGGAAUCUUCCGCAAUGGGCGAAAGCCUGACGGAGCAACGCCGCGUGAGUGAUGAAGGUCUUCGGAUCGUAAAACUCUGUUAUUAGGGAAGAACAAAUGUGUAAGUAACUAUGCACGUCUUGACGGUACCUAAUCAGAAAGCCACGGCUAACUACGUG
Molecule: ribosomal RNA, 497 nt
Filed under: uncultured bacterium
Lineage: Bacteria
Description: partial 16S ribosomal RNA
Rfam family: Bacterial small subunit ribosomal RNA
Source: RNAcentral